GGGCAGAUGAAACAUUUGCUGUAAUAAUUAGGGCAGUCUAAACCUUUGCUGUAUUAAGACCACGCAUGUGUCCCCAGAUCUAGUUCUUUCCUUAGGUCUGGUUUUAUAAAUGCUGAGGAUAAAC
Molecule: small nucleolar RNA, 124 nt
Organism: Hippopotamus amphibius kiboko
Lineage: Eukaryota; Metazoa; Chordata; Mammalia; Artiodactyla; Hippopotamidae
Product: small nucleolar RNA SNORA72
Exons: 1
Source: RefSeq, a predicted model, not a curated record